This 213-nucleotide long non-coding RNA is filed under the name Vigna radiata. Its description in RNAcentral is "long non-coding RNA (VRAD_LNC002962)". The record is from RNAcentral. Lineage: Eukaryota; Viridiplantae; Streptophyta; Magnoliopsida; Fabales; Fabaceae.
ACAAUCAUAUACACAUACAUCAAAACAAGGAUUAUCAAUCAAGAUAAUCAAGAACAUAUAACAUACAACAACAAACAAACAAAGGUAAGCUCCCUAUACCUUGGCCACUACUAGGGCUCUAUCUAACUUCAAAGACACCCCAAAUCCCCCAUUGCACUAAGGUUUUUUGUAACUCUUCCUCUUUCCUCCUAGAAAAUGUCUCUUCUCUCCUUU